Long non-coding RNA from Oncorhynchus tshawytscha (Chinook salmon), 1040 nucleotides. NCBI's taxonomy places the organism in Eukaryota, Metazoa, Chordata, Actinopteri, Salmoniformes, Salmonidae. The record is from Ensembl.
CAGGUAGCCUAGUGGUUAGAGUGUAGAGGAGGCAGGUAGACUAGUGGUUAGAGUGUAGAGGAGGCAGGUAGCCUAGUGGUUAGAGUGUAGAGGAGGCAGGUAGCCUAGUGGUUAGAGUGUAGAGGAGGCAGGUAGCCUGGUGGUUAGAGUGUAGAGGAGGCAGGUAGCCUAGUGGUUAGAGUGUGGAGGAGGCAGGUAGCCUAGUGGUUAGAGUGUAGAGGAGGCAGGUAGCCUAGUGGUUAGAGGAGGCAGGUAGACUAGUGGUUAGAGUGUAGAGGAGGCAGGUAGCCUAGUGGUUAGAGUGUAGAGGAGGCAGGUAGCCUAGUGGUUAGAGUGUAGAGGAGGCAGGUAGCCUAGUGGUUAGAGUAGGCCGUAAUUGUAAAUAAGAAUUUGUUCUUAACGGACUAGUUAAAUACUGGUUAAAUGAAUAAACAUGUAAAGUCUGACUGUGUCCUGGCUCUAGCUGUGGUGUGUUGGGAGCGGUUAGAGUUGGGUUGUCUGCUGGUCGUUGUCUCUCCAUCACUCUCACUGGAGCUCACAAUACGCUGGGCCUUCCGACCAGCACGCCUCAACAAUGGCUUCCUAAAACACACACACAGGUCAGAUAGAGACAGACGGGUCAGAUCGAGACAGACAGACGGGUCAGAUCGAGACAGACAGACGGGUCAGAUAGAGACAGACGGACGGGUCAGAUAGAGACAGACAGACGGGUCAGAUAGAGACAGACAGACGGGUCAGAUAGAGACAGACAGACGGGUCAGACAUUUGAAGACCAGAAAGGUAAUGCCACCAGUCUGACCUGGCUGUGUUGUUGCUCUGCUGCUGGGGAGGAGGAGGAGGCGGGACGAUGAAGAUGUUCUCUUCAUCACUGUCCUGCUCUCUCAGACAGGACAGGGCUUUGGUCUUCGCUAGUCGCAGCUCACUACUGAUAUCUGCUGUCCAGGACAGGGCUUUGGUCUUAGCCGGCCGUAGCGCUCUACUGCCAUCUGCUGUACUUCUCUUUCUCCCUCUGGAACAGGGGAAGGGAGGCCGGGAGGAGA